GCAUCUUCAACGUCUGGAAAGAACUUCGGUCAGGGAUGAGCUCGCGGCCUAUCAGCUAGUUGGUGAGGUAAUGGCUCACCAAGGCGUCGACGGGUAGCCGGCCUGAGAGGGUGACCGGCCACACUGGGACUGAGACACGGCCCAGACUCCUACGGGAGGCAGCAGUGGGGAAUAUUGCACAAUGGGCGCAAGCCUGAUGCAGCAACGCCGCGUGAGGGACGACGGCCUUCGGGUUGUAAACCUCUUUUAGCAAGGAAGAAGCGAAAGUGACGGUACUUGCAGAAAAAGCACCGGCUAACUACGUGCCAGCAGCCGCGGUAAUACGUAGGGUGCAAGCGUUAUCCGGAAUUAUUGGGCGUAAAGAGCUCGUAGGCGGUUUGUCGCGUCUGCUGUGAAAUCUGGGGGCUCAACCCCCAGCCUGCAGUGGGUACGGGCAGACUAGAGUGCGGUAGGGGAGAUUGGAAUUCCUGGUGUAGCGGUGGAAUGCGCAGAUAUCAGGAGGAACACCGAUGGCGAAGGCAGAUCUCUGGGCCGUAACUGACGCUGAGGAGCGAAAGGGUGGGGAGCAAACAGGCUUAGAUACCCUGGUAGUCCACCCCGUAAACGUUGGGAACUAGUUGUGGGGUCCAUUCCACGGAUUCCGUGACGCAGCU
RNAcentral lists this ribosomal RNA (653 nucleotides) under Microbacterium sp. RNAcentral's name for it is "bacterial SSU rRNA". It matches the Rfam family "Bacterial small subunit ribosomal RNA", at positions 186 to 853 of the family's 1533-position model. The record is from RNAcentral. Lineage: Bacteria; Bacillati; Actinomycetota; Actinomycetes; Micrococcales; Microbacteriaceae.